RNAcentral lists this ribosomal RNA (497 nucleotides) under uncultured bacterium. RNAcentral's name for it is "partial 16S ribosomal RNA". It matches the Rfam family "Bacterial small subunit ribosomal RNA", at positions 28 to 507 of the family's 1533-position model. The record is from RNAcentral.
GAUGAACGCUGGCGGCGUGCCUAAUACAUGCAAGUCGAGCGAACGGACGAGAAGCUUGCUUCUCUGAUGUUAGCGGCGGACGGGUGAGUAACACGUGGAUAACCUACCUAUAAGACUGGGAUAACUUCGGGAAACCGUAGCUAAUACCGGAUAAUAUUUUGAACCGCAUGGUUCAAAAGUGAAAGACGGUCUUGCUGUCACUUAUAGAUGGAUCCGCGCUGCAUUAGCUAGUUGGUAAGGUAACGGCUUACCAAGGCAACGAUGCAUAGCCGACCUGAGAGGGUGAUCGGCCACACUGGAACUGAGACACGGUCCAGACUCCUACGGGAGGCAGCAGUAGGGAAUCUUCCGCAAUGGGCGAAAGCCUGACGGAGCAACGCCGCGUGAGUGAUGAAGGUCUUCGGAUCGUAAAACUCUGUUAUUAGGGAAGAACAUAUGUGUAAGUAACUGUGCACAUCUUGACGGUACCUAAUCAGAAAGCCACGGCUAACUACAUG